Molecule: long non-coding RNA, 106 nt
Organism: Thalassophryne amazonica
Lineage: Eukaryota; Metazoa; Chordata; Actinopteri; Batrachoidiformes; Batrachoididae
Exons: 3
Source: RefSeq, a predicted model, not a curated record
AACUUUUUUCUGGAUCUCAGUUCCAGGAUAUAUUCUGCAUCCCCUCCAAAAUUGAAUCACUUAUUUCCCAGAACAUUAUCUGUCUGCACAACUGAACGGAUAGACA